GCCUGAUCCAGCCAUGCCGCGUGUGUGAAGAAGGUCUUCGGAUUGUAAAGCACUUUAAGUUGGGAGGAAGGGCAGUAAGUUAAUACCUUGCUGUUUUGACGUUACCGACAGAAUAAGCACCGGCCAAACUCUGUGCCAGCAGCCGCGGUAAUACAGAGGGUGCAAGCGUUAAUCGGAAUUACUGGGCGUAAAGCGCGCGUAGGUGGUUCGUUAAGUUGGAUGUGAAAGCCCCGGGCUCAACCUGGGAACUGCAUCCAAAACUGGCGAGCUAGAGUAUGGUAGAGGGUGGUGGAAUUUCCUGUGUAGCGGUGAAAUGCGUAGAUAUAGGAAGGAACACCAGUGGCGAAGGCGACCACCUGGACUGAUACUGACACUGAGGUGCGAAAGCGUGGGGAGCAAACAGGAUUAGAUACCGUG
Molecule: ribosomal RNA, 417 nt
Filed under: Pseudomonas asplenii
Lineage: Bacteria; Pseudomonadati; Pseudomonadota; Gammaproteobacteria; Pseudomonadales; Pseudomonadaceae
Description: partial 16S ribosomal RNA
Rfam family: Bacterial small subunit ribosomal RNA
Source: RNAcentral